GGAGCGGUAGUUCAGUUGGUUAGAAUACCUGCCUGUCACGCAGGGGGGCGCGGGUUCGAGUCCCGUCCGUUCCGCCA
RNAcentral lists this transfer RNA (77 nucleotides) under Citrobacter koseri. Its description in RNAcentral is "tRNA-Asp(gtc)". It matches the Rfam family "tRNA". Rfam says of the family: Transfer RNA (tRNA) molecules are approximately 80 nucleotides in length. Their secondary structure includes four short double-helical elements and three loops (D, anti-codon, and T loops). RNAcentral also lists the same sequence under 304 other names. Lineage: Bacteria; Pseudomonadati; Pseudomonadota; Gammaproteobacteria; Enterobacterales; Enterobacteriaceae. The record is from RNAcentral.